This is a long non-coding RNA of Branchiostoma floridae (Florida lancelet), 897 nucleotides long. RefSeq lists it as uncharacterized. Lineage: Eukaryota; Metazoa; Chordata; Leptocardii; Amphioxiformes; Branchiostomatidae. The record is from RefSeq and is a predicted model, not a curated record. The transcript has 2 exons.
UCUAUAUGUAAUAUCCCCUCCUUUUCGACAAGAUUCAUAUGACUCAAUGAAUAUUCCAGUAACGACCAGCUGUUUUUCAUAAAAGGCAAACCAAUUUGAUUCUCGGUGAAUGGCAGGAAAUGGCUGCAAUGUAUUUAUGCCUAUUCUAUCUCUGUUCGCGCAGGUAGCAUGGCCGCCCGCAGACUUCAGAAGGAAUUCACUGCUGCAUAAAGGUCAACUUCUCCAUGACUCUGGCCGCAAACAGAAUUCACUGGACCCCGGUCACGGAAACGCUUGGGCGUGUGGCGAUAUCACCCAGGAAAACAAACAAAAAAGCAAGAAAGGAAAAGAAACCAAUAGAGUAAAAAGUGGCAAAGGUAACCCGAAAACACAUGAUACAAAACACACAAAUAAAACAUAAAACCCUCCAACAAAACAACACUUCUAUCACACAGUAAGAAUACGCAAAAUAAAGGACAGCAUCAUGUAGUCAAAGAAGUCUGCCUGUCUUAAAAAGUCCAAUGUACGGUGAGUUUUAUCUUCGCGUACUUUCUUUAUCAUCGAUGCGUCAGUCAUAGUCUAUAAAGUGACAUCUAAACAAACUGUAUCAGCUACAUGUCCAAACUUAUCAUUCUUCACUGUAAGAAGUUAUAAGUUACCAAAUACAUCAAGAAACAUGUGACACGUUUUUCUUUAGUCUCCAGAAAGCUCAUUUGAAAUAUCUUUUAAAAGCUGCAAUGGUGUAUAAAAACUGCCCAAAGAAGCAACUUACAGUUCCUCAAUGUUACAUGCAAACGCCCGUCCCGCAAGUUCUUGUCAAAAACGAAUUCCCCUGGGAAUGCGUGCGUGGAAUAUUUAGAAUUCCUGGCAACUUAAUCGCAGUACUAUAAGAACGGCUCCGCCCCUGAGGCGUCGCCA